AUCAUUACAGAGUUGCAAAACUCCCUAAACCAUUGUGAACGUUACCUAUACCGUUGCUUCGGCGGGCGGCCCCGGGGUUUACCCCCCGGGCGCCCCUGGGCCCCACCGCGGGCGCCCGCCGGAGGUCACCAAACUCUUGAUAAUUUAUGGCCUCUCUGAGUCUUCUGUACUGAAUAAGUCAAAACUUUCAACAACGGAUCUCUUGGUUCUGGCAUCGAUGAAGAACGCAGCGAAAUGCGAUAAGUAAUGUGAAUUGCAGAAUUCAGUGAAUCAUCGAAUCUUUGAACGCACAUUGCGCCCGCCAGCAUUCUGGCGGGCAUGCCUGUUCGAGCGUCAUUUCAACCAUCAAGCCCCCGGGCUUGUGUUGGGGACCUGCGGCUGCCGCAGGCCCUGAAAAGCAGUGGCGGGCUCGCUGUCGCACCGAGCGUAGUAGCAUACAUCUCGCUCUGGUCGCGCCGCGGGUUCCGGCCGUUAAACCACCUUUUAACCCAAGGUUGACCUCGGAUCAGGUAGGAAGACCCGCUGAACUUAAGCAUAUCAAA
This 542-nucleotide ribosomal RNA is filed under the name Chaetomium globosum. RNAcentral's name for it is "eukaryotic LSU rRNA". The stretch from base 183 to 336 matches the Rfam family "5.8S ribosomal RNA". The record is from RNAcentral. Lineage: Eukaryota; Fungi; Ascomycota; Sordariomycetes; Sordariales; Chaetomiaceae.